GUGAGACUGCCACGGUUAACGUGGAAGAAGGUGGGGAUGACGUCAAAUCAUCAUGCCCCUUAUGUCUAGGGCUACACACGUGCUACAAUGGUGAGUACAAAGAGAUGCAAUACCGUGAGGUGGAGCCAAACUCAAAAACUCAUCCCAGUUCGGAUUGUAGGCUGAAACUCGCCUACAUGAAGCCGGAGUUGCUAGUAAUCGCGAAUCAGCAUGUCGCGGUGAAUACGUUCCCGGGCCUUGUACACACCGCCCGUCACACCAUGAGAGCUGGUAACACCCGAAGUCCGUGAGGUAACCCGUAAGGGAGCCAGCGGCCGAAGGUGGGAUUAGUGAUUGGGGUGAAGUCGUAACAAGGUAACC
RNAcentral lists this ribosomal RNA (360 nucleotides) under bacterium enrichment culture clone CXCIV. RNAcentral describes it as "bacterial SSU rRNA". It matches the Rfam family "Bacterial small subunit ribosomal RNA", at positions 1143 to 1501 of the family's 1533-position model. The record is from RNAcentral.